Wyeomyia smithii (pitcher-plant mosquito) is the source of this 2477-nucleotide long non-coding RNA. RefSeq lists it as uncharacterized. The transcript has 3 exons. NCBI's taxonomy places the organism in Eukaryota, Metazoa, Arthropoda, Insecta, Diptera, Culicidae. The record is from RefSeq and is a predicted model, not a curated record.
UUUUGCGCCUAUCUGAUGUAAUUUAUGCUUUAAUUUCAACAAGGUUUUCCGCAUAGAAAAAUACAGUUUAAUCGUGAAGGAUUAGUUGUCUUGGUGUACCCAAAAGUUACGAAGCCAAUCGUAACAUAAAACAUUAGUAGAAAAUAAGUUUCAUUAAAAAAAUAAUCAUUUUUAUCAAAGAAUCGAUUAAGGGGUAAAAUGCGCCGCCAUAUUAGCAAGAAUCAUCAUGACUCACGUUGAAAAAAGGUUAAUUCACUGAUUUUAUUUCGAUCGUCAAAAGCAACCCAGCAUGCUAAUAAAAAACCAAGAAGGCAUGAUGUUAGCUCAAACAUUAUUAAAUUAUUAUUACCACGCAUGAAACAAUCCCUCUUCGCCAUAUUUCAAAUUACCAAAUGAUAACAAAUAAAAUUUCAAUUUAAAAUCAAUUGAGCGCAUUACACGGUUAGACCCUUAUCUGAAGCAACGCCAGAAAACAUCUGUCACUUCGAGCGCAUUAACAAAAGAGAAAACAAAAAAUCGCAGUUCUCAGUAGAAAGUGUUGUACUAUAGGCAAAAUGGGACGAAUUUAUCGACGCAAAACUGACCGUAGAGCUUGGACUGUCGAAAAAAUGAACCAAGCAGUUCAUGCAGUGCGAGGAGGAAUGGGAAAAAGGACCGCGGCACGCAUUUACGAAGUGCCAAGAAAGACUUUAGAACGGUACCUCGAUAAGACGGCAGACGGAGAAUCAAUCCAGGUAAGACAACUGGGAAGUAUCAAACCAGUGUUUACGCUUGCACACGAGGAACAGUUAGCCAGUGAACUAAUACGUUUCAGUCAGAUGGGAUAUGGCCUGACUUCUAAAGAUGUCCGCAGUUUGGCGUAUAAAAAGGCAAACGAGAACGGUAUUCCCCAUCCGUUUAAUCUUUCCACAAAACUUGCUGGAAAGGAUUGGUUCAAGCAGUUUGUGCAUCGAAACCCUUCUUUGACAUUGCGGCAGCCAGAAGACACAUCGAUGGCACGUAUGAAAGGAUUCAACCGUGAGAGCGUCAAGAUUUUUUUAAGCUGCUCGAAGAAGCUUUUGCAACCCAUAAUUACCCACCCAGCAGAGUAGCGAACAUGGAUGAAACAGCAGUUAGCACCGUACCUACAAAAACAAAUAAAGUUAUUGCGAAGAAGGGAGAAAGGCGCGUUGCUGGAGUUACUUCGGCUGAGCGGGGAAUCACCACAACAGUCAUAUUUUCAAUGUCAGCGAGCGGCAAUUAUCUGCCACCGACAUUUAUAUUUCCCCGUAUAAGGAUGCAAGAGUCGUGGAAAUGCGGUGCUCCGCAAGAUUCAAAGUUCUUGUGCUCUGCAAGCGGUUGGAGCAACAUGGAAACAUGUAACACGUGGAUGGAUCAUUUCAUAGAACAUUUCAAACCUACCGAAAAAGAUCCGAUGCUACUAAUAUUGGAUGGGCAUACAAGCCACUCCAGAAAUUUCAGUAUGCUAGAGAAAGCGAACGUCAAUCACGUGCAAAUUAUAUCGAUGCCACCCCACACUUCCCACAAGUUACAACCGCUUGACGUAGCUUUCAUGAGUCCGUUCAAAGCAAAGUAUUCUAAUGCAGUGAAUGCUUUUAUGAAGAACUAGUUGAACGUUCCCGGCGAUGCUCGGGAUCAAAGGUUUCAAAAUUAGGAAUCAUUUUGUAUAAUUAAUUGCAUUAUUAACCCAACUCACUCUAAAAAUAUUUCACAUCUUAUACGUCCAUCAUCACUAUAAGUACCUCAACAUUCAGAGAACGCAAAGAACGGAAAUACUCAUAUUGGAUUGCAUUUUGUGAUUUUGGGCUGUUUUACAGAAACUGGAAGUCGCUGUUUCGGAUAUUAACGUACAGACGUACAGAGUUCCACUUUCGGAAGUAUUGAAAUGGUUGGCCAAAUACCACUUCAGGUUAUUUUCCUGAAUCCGCCAUUUUGUAAAAUAUUGUGUGGGGUCAUCCCAGUUCCGAAUAUACCAAAUUCGGGUGGUGUCCGGAUAUUCGAUAAUCGUUUACAGUAAAACCUCUUUUAUGUGAUUUUUGAAAGAAAGAAAUCGAAGUAUGUAAUAGGAAUUGCGCAUGACCAUUCAUGCUUAGUUCACCUCUAUAAUGAUAUCUAAAUUAAUUCUUCAAUCCACAAAACUACGUAGAAAUUUAAAAAAAAUUAAUGCAUAAGUCGCCUCCUAAUCGAUGUUUAAAUUAAUGAAAUGCGGCCUUUCCUCCAGCCAAAUGUCUCAAGAUCUAGUUUAGGUAAAAGUAAUAAAAUAAAUCGAAUCUCGUAAUGUGUUACCAUUCACAAAACUACGAAAACAUCAGAAAUGUAAUUUUUCUUCUGCUCGACUCGCACAUAAUCAAAACAUGGAUUUUUCUGCAAGAAAAUAUCCGCAGAUGUUGAAGGAACAGCGAACAUUUUAUUGAAAAAAAAUCACAUGUCAUCGCUUAGAAUUUUUUAUUUAGAGGCGAAUUGAGCUUAUGCUCAAA